RNAcentral lists this ribosomal RNA (826 nucleotides) under Sinacroneuria dabieshana. Its description in RNAcentral is "12S ribosomal RNA". The stretch from base 394 to 814 matches the Rfam family "Microsporidia small subunit ribosomal RNA", at positions 752 to 1303 of the family's 1311-position model. The record is from RNAcentral. Lineage: Eukaryota; Metazoa; Arthropoda; Insecta; Plecoptera; Perlidae.
AAAAAGUUUUAUUCUUGCUUGGUUAUUUAUAUAAUUCUUGUUUAUACAUGUAAGUUUAGUUGGCGUUAAUUGUGUAGAAUAUUCUUGAUGGAUAUCUAUGGUUGUAUGGGUCGCAGUAUUUAAUUUUAUAAAUUAGGGAAGUUUAGAUUUAGCAAGUAUUUGGUUGUAUCGGCAGAAGUCGUGCCAGCCGCCGCGGUUAAACGAAGGAUGCAGGUAAAUAUUAUUGGUAGGUAGUUAGAUAGUUAAAGUUGAAUAAAAGUUAGGAAAAUUAAAUUUUUUAAGUGAAAUUUUAAAUUUGAAAUAAUUUCUUUGGUGUUUAAUUGAAGCUGUGAAAUUUAGUGAUUAGACUAGGAUUAGAUACCCUAUUAUUAUAAAUGUAAAUUGAUGAAAUCUGAGUAGUAUUAGAUAUGUUCUUGAAACUCAAAGAAUUUGGCGGUGCUUUAGUCCUUUCAGAGGAACCUGUCCCGUAAUCGAUAUUUCACGUUGAAUUUUACUUGGUUUUGUUGAUGUGUUAUAAUCAGUUUGUAUACCGCCGUCGUCGGAAUGUCCUUGUAGGGUGAGUAAUUUUCUUGAUUUUGUUGUAGAAAAGAUGUCAGGUCAAGGUGCAGUUGAUGGCCAAGUGGAGAUGGGUUACAAUAAAUGAAUUUAAAUGGAAAAUGAUUUGAAUGAGUUGUUAGAAGGUGGAUUUGAUUGUAAUUAUAAAGAUAAUAUUAUUUUGGUUUUUGGCUCUAAAGCAUGCACACAUCGCCCGUCGCUCUCGUUAUUUAAGGCGAGAUAAGUCGUAACAUAGUAGGUGUACCGGAAGGUGUAUCUAGAAAGAUUUAAA